Molecule: ribosomal RNA, 253 nt
Filed under: uncultured bacterium
Lineage: Bacteria
Description: partial 16S ribosomal RNA
Rfam family: Bacterial small subunit ribosomal RNA
Source: RNAcentral
GACGUAGGGCGCGAGCGUUGUCCGGAUUUAUUGGGCGUAAAGAGCUCGUAGGCGGCUUGUUGCGUCAGCUGUGAAAACCCGCAGCUCAACUGUGGGCUUGCAGCUGAUACGGGCAGGCUUGAGUUCGGUAGGGGAGACUGGAAUUCUCGGUGUAGCGGUGAAAUGCGUAGAUAUCGAGAGGAACACCUGCGGCGAAGGCGGGUUGCUGGGCCGACACUGACGCUGAUGCGCGAAAGCCAGGGGAGCGAACGGG